RNAcentral lists this unclassified non-coding RNA (820 nucleotides) under Athalia rosae (coleseed sawfly). RNAcentral's name for it is "misc RNA ENSAEAG00005008504.1". The record is from RNAcentral. Lineage: Eukaryota; Metazoa; Arthropoda; Insecta; Hymenoptera; Athaliidae.
AACGUAGUGUCUAUUCAAAAUCACCCCAUUGUAGGCAAGGGCGUCUAUGUUUGGUGUCGGUAUUUGGUUUGAACCGUGAAAUCCAACAUCAUUCCAUCCCUAAAAUAUUUAUUAAUGAAUCGUAACCACUGGAUGUUAUAGUUGAGAAGCAUUUUCGACCGUAUACUGCGCUGGUUCAACGCGGUGCUUAAGGUAGAAUGCCAUGAGCAUAGAUAGGAGUAUACUAGACUUCCGGGUUAGAUUGGAAGUGGAUUAUCUACGAAUGAAAUCAGUCGGAGGUCAUCAUAACAGCUCGGAAGGGAAUUUUAUUUGUUUGGUUCUCCGUGAGUCAGCCGACCGUGUGUCUGCAUCCUCGUUUCUCGUCGUGGUGCACGUGCCUCCUUUGGGCCCCGGCGUGGGCGGUUCUGUGUAAAGUAGUGGAAGCGUCUGCGGCUUAGCAGAUAAUUGUCUUAACUCGGCGUGCAUUGUUAAUCCGAGUCGAGUGGUGCCACGUGCCCACUAACCCGAGCCAACCGACCUCCCUGCAUAAUAUCUCAGGGAAUAUUAAGCCGGACGACGUAUGAAAUAACGAAGCUAUAAUCCACCAAUACCACCGCCGCAGUUUACAUGUUCAUCUUGAUAAACGGACUGACACCUGUUGUCUGAGAAACAACGCUCAAUUUAUCCUAAUCUAAUUAUUACGCGGACCAGUUAUUUGUCCGUGAAAAAUUUCCUCCCUCCCUUCUCGACGGUGCAAGAAAAAUGAAAAUUAGACCUUAGAUGGAUGAAUGAAAGGAUGGAUUUCCUUCGCUACGAGCAGACAGCUUAAGUGGCUCAGACA